GGCCAGACUCCUACGGGAGGCAGCAGUGGGGGAUAUUGCACAAUGGAGGAAACUCUGAUGCAGCGACGCCGCGUGAGGGAAGACGGUCUUCGGAUUGUAACCCUCUGUCUUUGGGGAAGAAAAUGACGGUACCCAAAGAGGAAGCCCCGGCUAACUACGUGCCAGCAGCCGCGGUAAUACGUAGGGGGCAAGCGUUGUUCGGAAUGACUGGGCGUAAAGGGUGCGUAGGCGGUGUAGCAAGUUAGAAGUGAAAUACCUAGAGCUUAACUCAGGUGCUGCUUCUAAAACUGCUAUACUUGAGUGCAGGAGAGGAAAGUGGAAUUCCUAGUGUAGCGGUGGAAUGCGUAGAUAUUAGGAGGAACAUCAGUGGCGAAGGCGACUUUCUGGACUGUAACUGACGCUGAGGCACGAAAGUGUGGGGAGCAAACAGGAUUAGAUACCCUCGUA
Molecule: ribosomal RNA, 447 nt
Filed under: uncultured bacterium
Lineage: Bacteria
Description: partial 16S ribosomal RNA
Rfam family: Bacterial small subunit ribosomal RNA
Source: RNAcentral